UUGAUCGCUACGCGGUAGGCCUAGACAUGCACGUCGAGCGGAUGAAGGUAGCUUGCUACCGGAUUCAGCGGCGGACGGGUGAGUAAUGCCUAGGAAUCUGCCCGGUAAUGGGGGAUAACGUUUCGAAAGGAACGCUAAUACCGCAUACGUCCUACGGGAGAAAGCAGGGGACCUUCGGGCCUUGCGUUAUCGGAUGAGCCUAGGUCGGAUUAGCUAGUUGGUGAGGUAAUGGCUCACCAAGGCGACGAUCCGUAACUGGUCUGAGAGGAUGAUCAGUCACACUGGAACUGAGACACGGUCCAGACUCCUACGGGAGGCAGCAGUGGGGAAUAUUGGACAAUGGGCGAAAGCCUGAUCCAGCCAUGCCGCGUGUGUGAAGAAGGUCUUCGGAUUGUAAAGCACUUUAAGUUGGGAGGAAGGGCAGUCAGUUAAUACCUUGCUGUCUUGACGUUACCAACAGAAUAAGCACCGGCUAACUUCGUGCCAGCAGCCGCGGUAAUACGAAGGGUGCAAGCGUUAAUCGGAAUUACUGGGCGUAAAGCGCGCGUAGGUGGUUCAGCAAGUUGGAUGUGAAAGCCCCGGGCUCAACCUGGGAACUGCAUCCAAAACUACUGAGCUAGAGUACGGUAGAGGGUGGUGGAAUUUCCUGUGUAGCGGUGAAAUGCGUAAUAUAGGAAGGAACACCAGUGGCGAAGCGACCACCUGGACUGAUACUGACACUGAGGUGCGAAAGCGUGGGGAGCAACAGGAUUAGAUACCUG
Molecule: ribosomal RNA, 761 nt
Filed under: Aquipseudomonas alcaligenes
Lineage: Bacteria; Pseudomonadati; Pseudomonadota; Gammaproteobacteria; Pseudomonadales; Pseudomonadaceae
Description: bacterial SSU rRNA
Rfam family: Bacterial small subunit ribosomal RNA
Source: RNAcentral